Molecule: transfer RNA, 73 nt
Filed under: Rosa chinensis
Lineage: Eukaryota; Viridiplantae; Streptophyta; Magnoliopsida; Rosales; Rosaceae
Description: tRNA RchiOBHm_Chr4g0392291
Source: RNAcentral
UGGUGUUAGCUCAGUGGUUAGAGCACCCACUACCUAUGUACGAAGUCAUGGGUUCGAGUCACCAUAGCGGCAG